GGAGGGUGCAAGCGUUAUCCGGAUUCACUGGGUUUAAAGGGUGCGUAGGUGGGUUGGUAAGUCAGUGGUGAAAUCCCCGAGCUUAACUUGGGAACUGCCAUUGAUACUAUCAAUCUUGAAUACCGUGGAGGUCAGCGGAAUAUGUCAUGUAGCGGUGAAAUGCUUAGAUAUGACAUAGAACAUCAAUUGCGAAGGCAGCUGGCUACGCGAAUAUUGACACUGAGGCACGAAAGCGUGGGGAUCAAACAGGAUUAGAUACCCUGGUAGUCCACGCCCUAAACUAUGGAUACUCGACAUCAGCGAUACACUGUUGGUGUCUGAGCGAAAGCAUUAAGUAUCCCACCUGGGAAGUACGAUCGCAAGAUUGAA
RNAcentral lists this ribosomal RNA (369 nucleotides) under uncultured bacterium. RNAcentral's name for it is "bacterial SSU rRNA". It matches the Rfam family "Bacterial small subunit ribosomal RNA", at positions 527 to 898 of the family's 1533-position model. The record is from RNAcentral.